Molecule: ribosomal RNA, 484 nt
Filed under: uncultured bacterium
Lineage: Bacteria
Description: partial 16S ribosomal RNA
Rfam family: Bacterial small subunit ribosomal RNA
Source: RNAcentral
AUUGAACGCUGGCGGCAGGCCUAACACAUGCAAGUCGAGCGGAUGAAGGGAGCUUGCUCCUGGAUUCAGCGGCGGACGGGUGAGUAAUGCCUAGGAAUCUGCCUGGUAGUGGGGGGUAACGUCCGGAAACGGGCGCUAAUACCGCAUACGUCCUGAGGGAGAAAGUGGGGGAUCUUCGGACCUCACGCUAUCAGAUGAGCCUAGGUCGGAUUAGCUAGUUGGUGGGGUAAAGGCCUACCAAGGCGACGAUCCGUAACUGGUCUGAGAGGAUGAUCAGUCACACUGGAACUGAGACACGGUCCAGACUCCUACGGGAGGCAGCAGUGGGGAAUAUUGGACAAUGGGCGAAAGCCUGAUCCAGCCAUGCCGCGUGUGUGAAGAAGGUCUUCGGAUUGUAAAGCACUUUAAGUUGGGAGGAAGGGCAGUAAGUUAAUACCUUGCUGUUUUGACGUUACCAACAGAAUAAGCACCGGCUAACCUCGUG